ACCUCAAAUCAGGCAGGAGUACCCGCUGAACUUAAGCAUAUCAAUAAGCGGAGGAAAAGAAACCAACAGGGAUUGCCUUAGUAACUGCGAGUGAAGCGGCAAGAGCUCAAAUUUGAAAUCUGGCACCUUCGGUGUCCGAGUUGUAAUUUGUAGAAGCAUCUUUUGGAUUGGUCCUUGCAUAUGUUCCUUGGAACAGGACAUCAUAGAGGGUGAGAAUCCCGUUCAUGGUGGGGAAUCCAAUUCUUUGUAAAGUGCUUUCGAAGAGUCGAGUUGUUUGGGAAUGCAGCUCUAAGUGGGUGGUAAAUUCCAUCUAAAGCUAAAUAUUGGCGAGAGACCGAUAGCGAACAAGUACAGUGAUGGAAAGAUGAAAAGAACUCCGAAAGGAGAGUGAAAAAGGACGUGAAAUUGUUGAAAGGGAAGUGCUUGAGAUCAGUCUUAAGGUUUAGUGAUCAGUCUUCCUUUUGGUCGGUGCACUCACUAUUUCUUAGGCCAACAUCAGUUUUCGCGGCAGGAUAAUGACAUUGGAAUGUGGCUCUUUCGGGAGUGUUAUAGCCUUUGUUGAUACUGCCUGCUUAGACUGAGGACCGCGCUUUUGCUAGGAUGUUGGCAUAAUGAUCUUAAGCAG
This 625-nucleotide ribosomal RNA is filed under the name Lipomyces tetrasporus. Its description in RNAcentral is "LSU rRNA". It matches the Rfam family "Eukaryotic large subunit ribosomal RNA", at positions 1 to 647 of the family's 3401-position model. Lineage: Eukaryota; Fungi; Ascomycota; Lipomycetes; Lipomycetales; Lipomycetaceae. The record is from RNAcentral.